This 468-nucleotide ribosomal RNA is filed under the name uncultured bacterium. Its description in RNAcentral is "partial 16S ribosomal RNA". It matches the Rfam family "Bacterial small subunit ribosomal RNA", at positions 28 to 507 of the family's 1533-position model. The record is from RNAcentral.
GACGAACGCUGGCGGCGUGCUUAACACAUGCAAGUCGAACGGAAAGACCCUGCUUUUGUUGGUUUCUCGUUUGCCGAACGGGUGAGUAACACGUGUGUAACCUCCCCUUGACUUUGUGAUAUCUUCAGGAAACUGCGGCUCAUACCCGAUAUGAUCUCCUGCUGCAUGUUGGUCGUUGGAAAGUUUCGGCGGUUGGGGCUGGACUCGCUGCUUAUCCGCUUGUUGGUGUGGUAGUGGCUUACCAAGGCUUUGACGGGUAGCCGGCCUGGGAGCGGUACCGGGGACAUGGGGACUGAGAGAGGGACCAGAAGCGAACGGGAGGCAGCAGGGGGGAAUAUUGCACAAUGAGGGGAAGUGAGAGGCAGAAACGCCGCGAGCGGGAUAACGGGUUUCGGGGGGUAAACCGAUGUCGAAUGAGACGAAGAGAGAGUGACGGUAAUGGGUAAAGAAGCAACGGCUAACUACGUG